Hemibagrus wyckioides is the source of this 229-nucleotide long non-coding RNA. RefSeq lists it as uncharacterized. NCBI's taxonomy places the organism in Eukaryota, Metazoa, Chordata, Actinopteri, Siluriformes, Bagridae. The record is from RefSeq and is a predicted model, not a curated record. The transcript is spliced from 3 exons.
CAGAGGCACCGGGGGAUAUGCCUGAGAAGAAAACAGCACAAAAGAGGAAAAGAAGUAGUUUUGGUUGAGUGGGAGCCCUGUCCAGGAUGUGGUAAGAAGUGGGCCCAUUCCUGGCAGCCAAAGGAAUCAAUUUUAAAUCCUAGUUAAAAAUUAUAUGUACGCACUUCAGCAAUGUGACUUUUUUUUUUUUUUUUACCACAUUUUAACAUGUUGGGUUAUUGAUGUUUAA